CUCAGGACGAACGCUGGCGGCGUGCUUAACACAUGCAAGUCGAACGGGAGUAUUGAAGAAGCUUGCUUUAGAGAUACUUUAGUGGCGGACGGGUGAGUAACGCGUGAGGAGCUGUCCUAUGCAGGGGGACAACAGCUGGAAACGGCUGCUAAUACCCCAUAAGCCGAGAGGUAAAAGGAUCAAUCCGGCAGAGGAGGUACUCGCGUCCUAUCAGCUAGUAGGUGAGGUAACGGCUCACCUAGGCGAAGACGGGUAGCCGGCCUGAGAGGGCGAACGGCCACACUGGAACUGAGAUACGGUCCAGACUCCUACGGGAGGCAGCAGGUGGGGAAUAUUGGGCAAUGGGGAAACCCUGACCCAGCGACGCCGCGUGGGUGAAGAAAUCCUUCGGGAUGUAAAGCCCUGUUGUAUGGGAAGAGCGGAAGACGGUACCAUACGAGGAAGCCCCGGCAAACUACGUGCCAGCCGCUGC
RNAcentral lists this ribosomal RNA (472 nucleotides) under uncultured bacterium. RNAcentral's name for it is "bacterial SSU rRNA". It matches the Rfam family "Bacterial small subunit ribosomal RNA", at positions 23 to 518 of the family's 1533-position model. The record is from RNAcentral.